UGGGGAAUAUUGCACAAUGGGCGCAAGCCUGAUGCAGCCAUGCCGCGUGUGUGAAGAAGGCCUUCGGGUUGUAAAGCACUUUCAGCGAGGAGGAAGGUGGUGAACUUAAUACGUUCAUCAAUUGACGUUACUCGCAGAAGAAGCACCGGCUAACUCCGUGCCAGCAGCCGCGGUAAUACGGAGGGUGCAAGCGUUAAUCGGAAUUACUGGGCGUAAAGCGCACGCAGGCGGUUUGUUAAGUCAGAUGUGAAAUCCCCGGGCUCAACCUGGGAACUGCAUUUGAAACUGGCAAGCUAGAGUCUCGUAGAGGGGAGUAGAAUUCCAGGUGUAGCGGUGAAAUGCGUAGAGAUCUGGAGGAAUACCGGUGGCGAAGGCGGCCCCCUGGACGAAGACUGACGCUCAGGUGCGAAAGCGUGGGGCAGCAAACAGGAUUAGAUACCCUGGUAGUCCACGCUGUAAACGAUGUCGAUUUUGGAGGUUGUGCCCUUGAGGCGUGGCUUCCGGAGCUAACGCGUUAAAUCGACCGCCUGGGGAGUACGGCCGCAAGGUU
Molecule: ribosomal RNA, 550 nt
Filed under: uncultured bacterium
Lineage: Bacteria
Description: partial 16S ribosomal RNA
Rfam family: Bacterial small subunit ribosomal RNA
Source: RNAcentral